Molecule: transfer RNA, 73 nt
Filed under: Penicillium steckii
Lineage: Eukaryota; Fungi; Ascomycota; Eurotiomycetes; Eurotiales; Aspergillaceae
Rfam family: tRNA
About the family: Transfer RNA (tRNA) molecules are approximately 80 nucleotides in length.
Source: Rfam by way of RNAcentral
UCGGAUAUGGUCUAGCGGUUUAGGAUCGCCCGCUUUCACCGGGCUGGCCCGGGUUCGACUCCCGGUAUCCGAG